GUGUUUCUGUGGUGUUCGUAAGCUCACUUAUUAAACCCUUGAGCCUUACUCAUCGACCCCGGGAAUGAGUCUGCUGGUGCUGUGUGCAUUACCGUUUUAUACGGGAAGCCUUAUACAUCGGCGCAAAUUCCCACCUGGACUUCUGGUUCAAGGUUCGUGAGAAGAGCUACGGCAUUUACGGAAGCACC
Molecule: non-coding RNA, 188 nt
Filed under: Gammaproteobacteria bacterium
Lineage: Bacteria; Pseudomonadati; Pseudomonadota; Gammaproteobacteria
Description: 6S RNA
Rfam family: 6S / SsrS RNA
About the family: E. coli 6S RNA was the first non coding RNA to be sequenced, but its function was unknown until recently.
Source: RNAcentral